UGCCAGACUCCUACGGGAGGCAGCAGUGGGGGAUAUUGCACAAUGGGGGGAACCCUGAUGCAGCGACGCCGCGUGGGUGAAGGAGCGUUUCGGCGCGUAAAGCCCUAUCGGCAGGGAAGAAGGAGGACGGUACCUGACUAAGAAGCCCCGGCUAACUCCGUGCCAGCAGCCGCGGUAAUACGGAGGGUGCGAGCGUUAAUCGGAAUUACUGGGCGUAAAGCGCUCGUAGGCGGUAUGUCAAGUCAAGGGUGAAAUCCCCGCGCUCAACGUGGGAACUGCCUUUGAAACUGGCAAACUGGAGUGUGUGAGAGGAUAGUGGAAUUCCUAGUGUAGCGGUGAAAUGCGUAGAUAUUAGGAGGAACACCAGUGGCGAAGGCGGCUUGCUGGACAGAGACUGACGUUGAGGCUCGAAAGCGUGGGGAGCAAACAGGAUUAGAUACCCCCGUAAC
Molecule: ribosomal RNA, 449 nt
Filed under: uncultured bacterium
Lineage: Bacteria
Description: partial 16S ribosomal RNA
Rfam family: Bacterial small subunit ribosomal RNA
Source: RNAcentral